RNAcentral lists this unclassified non-coding RNA (211 nucleotides) under Clarkia lewisii. RNAcentral describes it as "partial miscellaneous RNA". The record is from RNAcentral. Lineage: Eukaryota; Viridiplantae; Streptophyta; Magnoliopsida; Myrtales; Onagraceae.
AUCUAUUCGUCACCCAACCUCUUCUCCCCCAAAAGGAGCUCGGGUCCUGGGUACGGAAGUUGACCUCCCGUGCUCUUGAAGCGCGGCUGGUCUAAAAUCGAGCAUCGGACUGAUGAUCUCCGAGGCACGCGGUGGUUGUUAAUUCUUACCUCGUGAUGUUGCCACGGAGCCUCUUCCAUACGGAGCUCCACGACCCUAGAUUCAUAACGAU